Molecule: long non-coding RNA, 879 nt
Organism: Daphnia pulex (common water flea)
Lineage: Eukaryota; Metazoa; Arthropoda; Branchiopoda; Diplostraca; Daphniidae
Exons: 4
Source: RefSeq, a predicted model, not a curated record
UAGUACGAGUUUUGAAUAAUGCACAGUUAGUCACAGACAGACAUGGAAGACAGUCGUUCUUUUCAGAGCCUGAUUGAAGUGAUUGACGAAUUUGGCACCAUGUUUUUGGCUGAGACACGAAUUUUGAUGCUGAAAGACUUGGAAACCAUACUGUCGACCACGUCGAGAAGCUGAGUAACAUUGUGCUUUUACAAAGGCACCUCUUAAUUAAAGGAACUUAAGCCAUCCAAUAUAGGACUUCCAUCAAAUCGUGUAGGCUGCAUGGAAGUCACAUUUACCUUUGCUGUGAACAUCAUGAACACAUACACUAUUUGAAGGUUCAUGUUUACGUAGCAGUGGUGUUGCUGUCCAAUGUGGCGUGUUGUUGCAGCCUAUGGUGGUGAAAGAUAUCUACAUCAAGUUGCUGUUCCUUGUGCAUCCAAGGUGCUGGUUUUGUGCUACAGAAGUGACAUCCAAUAUUGUCUUUGAUUGCUAUUUGUGUCUUUGCAGUUUACCUUUACAUAUUGAGAAGGAACAAAAAAAAUAGUAAUACGGGGAGGUUUAUGUCAAACAAAUAAUAAACAUGUCCAGCAUGGGGGAAUGAGGAGGAAGUUGGGGUGGGGUAUUUGGUUAUGAUUUACUAAAAGAAGUGAGGUAUAUUUUUAAUGAAUAUGCAGUACUUGGUGAUAAAAUCUGUUGUUAACCUAUACCUUCCUGUCAUCCUAUACCUUCCUCACUUACAUAUCCAUCCCUCAAACCCCAUAAGCACCAGCAUCAAAUCCCACAUCCACUUACAUCCAUUCCUAAAACCUCACAAUCUACAACAUCAAAUUCACACAAUUGUUGUGUAUCCAUUAUCAAAUUUAUAUGUAAAUAAAUAAAAUGCCAUUGUAUAAAAUU